AAGGACAUGAAACUCGAGCAGCAUAAAGGACAUGAAACCACAGAUCUUUGAGAUGAGAUAAUUUAUUUUACUUGAAAAGAUCUUCCUGUGUUGCAGAGGUGCCUCUGCAGCUCUCCAGUACUUCAUCUUUUUACAAGUGCUGAGUUGCUAACAACCCCCCAGAUGACAGCAGCUUUGCAUUUUCCUGUGGUCAUCUUCUUCUGGUGCAUCUAUCAAAAUGCCAGCAAGACAAGUCAGAUGAACCAGAUAAAAAUGGACAGCAACAUGUGUCAGCAUGGAUCAGGAAGGGGACACCCUGAAAACAGAAGCCACGAAGUAUGUAAAACAAUGUGCUUUGGAUUAAGUUUUUCUAAAUGCCCUUCAUCACAGCAGUGCCAAAUGUUCUAGCUGGCAGCUGAUCUUGAGUUGUCUUUGAAAUCUGAGUGAUGGACGUGAUCCUUAAAUAUGGGACAGUGGGGUACAUC
Molecule: long non-coding RNA, 464 nt
Organism: Columba livia (rock pigeon)
Lineage: Eukaryota; Metazoa; Chordata; Aves; Columbiformes; Columbidae
Exons: 3
Source: RefSeq, a predicted model, not a curated record